This 253-nucleotide ribosomal RNA is filed under the name uncultured Dokdonella sp. Its description in RNAcentral is "partial 16S ribosomal RNA". It matches the Rfam family "Bacterial small subunit ribosomal RNA", at positions 524 to 776 of the family's 1533-position model. The record is from RNAcentral. Lineage: Bacteria; Pseudomonadati; Pseudomonadota; Gammaproteobacteria; Lysobacterales; Rhodanobacteraceae.
UACGAAGGGUGCAAGCGUUAGUCGGAAUUACUGGGCGUAAAGCGUGCGUAGGUGGCUUUUUAAGUCUGUCGUGAAAGCCCUGGGCUCAACCUGGGAAUGGCGAUGGAUACUGAGGAGCUAGAGUACGGUAGAGGAUGGUGGAAUUCCCGGUGUAGCGGUGAAAUGCGUAGAGAUCGGGAGGAACAUCAGUGGCGAAGGCGGCCAUCUGGGCCAGUACUGACACUGAGGCACGAAAGCGUGGGGAGCAAACAGG